This 765-nucleotide long non-coding RNA is filed under the name Erythranthe guttata (spotted monkey flower). RNAcentral describes it as "long non-coding RNA (EGUT_LNC001105)". Lineage: Eukaryota; Viridiplantae; Streptophyta; Magnoliopsida; Lamiales; Phrymaceae. The record is from RNAcentral.
CUUUUUUUCUUUUUCUUUUUUCUUUUCUUUUUUUCCCUUUUUUUAAUAAAGUAAUAAAUUAAAAAAGAAAUUAAUUAAUAUUUAAUAUUCUUAAACAAAACCACCACAGUUCCCUCCAUAGUCCACGGAAGGGGACACCAAAUCGCCACCACUAUGUGCGCCAUAUACACCACUCUCUCACGGUAUAAUCGGGUUUGUGGGGCGCCACAAACUCACUUCCGAGUUUCGACAAAGCUCACCAGCCGCUCAAUUUCUGCAGCUCCUCGCCGCCGUAGGCGACGGAAGAGAGGAGAAAAUUCUGGUGAAAGUGGGAGGUGGAAUGGGAGGCGGCAGCGAGGUGAAGUUGGCGGUGGACCGGUGUCUGCGGCAAGAAGAGUGGAGGAGACAUGUUGUGGAAGGAAAGAGGUGGGGCCGGUGGUGGUGGCGGCGUGAAGAGGUGACUGCCGGAGGUGGUGGUGGUGGUGCGAUUUCUAUAGGAAGAAUAGAAAAGAAGAGAAAUAAUACGUUAUAGAAUAGAAACCCCCAUUGUGUUAUGGGUUGAUUACAUGGAAUAUAUAUAAAGAAAUAUUGCAAGGUAAUAGAGUUUGACUAGGUAACUAAAUCCUAACUAAUCUAGGUAACCGAAUCAUACUAGAAUCCUAAUAUUAGGAGAGUUCUAUAAUAUAAUAUUCUCUAACACGCCCCCGCAGUCGAAACGUGACGAACGUGAAGACUGGACAAUCACUUGCUAGCACGCUCCCGCAGUCGGAACGAAUAAACUUCAAA